UCUUUUUCAGACCAUGUACUGAAGAUAUUCAGUGAGUGGCGAGGGGACAGAGCCGCUGGUAAAGGCGUUUCUCUCAAUGAAAGACGGAACAACCCGCGACUGGCAUUCACAGUUCGUGGAAUUUGUGGGAGGGUGAUGAAAACCCCAAAGUAUAGAGGUUUAACACGUGAGGGAUAUGUUCCGAUAGUUGUACAACUGGUACAAAAAGCUGGGCACCUGGACUAUCAAAGCAUACGCUGCGACGUAUUCAAGAUGCGUAGCAUUAGGACAUGCACUCAGAUUCAUGACACAGAAAAAAAGGAUGAUUACUUCCAGGAUCUUCAAUGUAUCUUCCGGUACAACCUCAAAGAAGGAAACUAUUUUGUUGUGCCAUCGACUGAAAACCCACGGAACGAGAGAGAGUUCCUAGUACGACUUUUCUCUCCAUGCCCUUUGCUUGAAUGCAGGUAAUGUUUCCUUACAAGUAACAAUGUAAAACAA
Molecule: long non-coding RNA, 480 nt
Organism: Haliotis rufescens (red abalone)
Lineage: Eukaryota; Metazoa; Mollusca; Gastropoda; Lepetellida; Haliotidae
Exons: 3
Source: RefSeq, a predicted model, not a curated record